GACGAACGCUGGCGGCGUGCUUAACACAUGCAAGUCGAGCGGUAAGGCCCUUUCGGGGGUACACGAGCGGCGAACGGGUGAGUAACACGUGGGUGACCUGCCCUCAGCUCUGGGAUAAGCCUGGGAAACCGGGUCUAAUACUGGAUAUGACUCCAUGACGCAUGUUGUGGGGUGGAAAGCCUUGUGCGGCUGAGGAUGGGCCCGCGGCCUAUCAGCUUGUUGGUGGGGUGANGGCCUACCAAGGCGUACGACGGGUAGCCGGCCUGAGAGGGCGACCGGCCACACUGGGACUGAGACACGGCCCAGACUCCUACGGGAGGCAGCAGUGGGGAAUCUUGCGCAAUGGGCGAAAGCCUGACGCAGCGACGCCGCGUGAGGGAUGACGGCCUCGGUUGUAA
RNAcentral lists this ribosomal RNA (398 nucleotides) under uncultured bacterium. Its description in RNAcentral is "bacterial SSU rRNA". It matches the Rfam family "Bacterial small subunit ribosomal RNA", at positions 28 to 428 of the family's 1533-position model. The record is from RNAcentral.